This 368-nucleotide ribosomal RNA is filed under the name uncultured organism. RNAcentral's name for it is "bacterial SSU rRNA". It matches the Rfam family "Bacterial small subunit ribosomal RNA", at positions 526 to 896 of the family's 1533-position model. The record is from RNAcentral.
CGAAGGAUUCGAGCGUUAUCCGAAUUUAUUGGGUUUAAAGGGUGCGUAGGUGGACUAAUAAGUCAGUGGUGAAAGCCCGCAGCUUAACUGCGGAACUGCCAUUGAUACUGUUAGUCUUGAGUACAGUUGAGGUGGGCGGAAUGUGUCAUGUAGCGGUGAAAUGCUUAGAUAUGACACAGAACACCGAUUGCGAAGGCAGCUCACUAAGCUGUAACUGACACUGAGGCACGAAAGCGUGGGGAGCAAACAGGAUUAGAUACCCUGGUAGUCCACGCCCUAAACGAUGAUUACUCGAUGUUGGCGAUACACUGUCAGCGUCUAAGCGAAAGCAUUAAGUAAUCCACCUGGGGAGUACGACCGCAAGGUUG